AAACAUAUGUUUUUCUUUUCUAAUUUUUAUUUUCAAUGCUUGCUCGGUUUUUCAAGAGUUGUGGCACUUACUGAUUCUCAUUUUCGUUCUCCCCAACUUAUUUCUUACUCACCAUAAGUGAAUGCUCUUAACUUUUUACGGCAAAAGAACAAUAAUCAAGAUUUUUCGGGUUGUAAAAAAAAAGAUUUUUGAAAUCUCGCUUUAUUUCAAGC
RNAcentral lists this long non-coding RNA (212 nucleotides) under Lathyrus oleraceus (garden pea). RNAcentral's name for it is "Pisum sativum (pea) long non-coding RNA (PSAT_LNC039071)". The record is from RNAcentral. Lineage: Eukaryota; Viridiplantae; Streptophyta; Magnoliopsida; Fabales; Fabaceae.